GGCUGGGUAGCUCAGUCAGUAGACCAUGAUACUCUUAAUCUUAGGGUAGUGGGUUCAAGUCCCAUGUUGGACU
This is a non-coding RNA of Podarcis lilfordi (Lilford's wall lizard), 73 nucleotides long. NCBI's taxonomy places the organism in Eukaryota, Metazoa, Chordata, Lepidosauria, Squamata, Lacertidae. The record is from the annotation of a GenBank genome assembly.